This 406-nucleotide ribosomal RNA is filed under the name uncultured bacterium. Its description in RNAcentral is "partial 16S ribosomal RNA". It matches the Rfam family "Bacterial small subunit ribosomal RNA", at positions 30 to 526 of the family's 1533-position model. The record is from RNAcentral.
AUUGAACGAUGGCGGCAGGCCUAACACAUGCAAGUCGAACGCGUGGCGGACGGGUGAGUAAUGUCUGGGAAACUGCCCGAUUGAGGGGGAUAACUACUGGAAACGGUAGCCAAUACCGCAUACCAUCAGAUGUGUCCAGAUGGGACUAGCUGGUAGGUGGGGUAACGGCUCACCUGGGCGACGAUCCCUAGCUGGUCUGAGAGGAUGACCAGCCACACUGGAACUGAGACACGGUCCAGACUCCUACGGGAGGCAGCAGUGGGGAAUAUUGCACAAUGGGCGCAAGCCUGAUGCAGCCAUGCCGCGUGUGUGAAGAAGGCCUUCGGGUUGUAAAGCACUUUCAGCGGGGAGGCGUUACCCGCAGAAGAAGCACCGGCUAACUCCGUGCCAGCAGCCGCGGUAAUAC